RNAcentral lists this ribosomal RNA (323 nucleotides) under uncultured bacterium. RNAcentral describes it as "bacterial SSU rRNA". It matches the Rfam family "Bacterial small subunit ribosomal RNA", at positions 28 to 334 of the family's 1533-position model. The record is from RNAcentral.
GAUGAACGCUGGCGGCGUGCUUAACACAUGCAAGUCGAACGAGAAUCAACGGAUUGAGGAUUCGUCCAAAUGAAGUUGAGGAAAGUGGCGGACGGGUGAGUAACGCGUGAGGAACCUGCCUCGGAGUGGGGAAUAACAGUUGGAAACAGCUGCUAAUACCGCAUAAUGCAACGAAAUCGCAUGACUUUGUUGCCAAAGAUUUAUCGCUCUGAGAUGGCCUCGCGUCCGAUUAGCUGGUUGGUGAGGUAACGGCCCACCAAGGCGACGAUCGGUAGCCGGACUGAGAGGUUGAACGGCCACAUUGGGACUGAGACACGGCCCAG